This 327-nucleotide ribosomal RNA is filed under the name uncultured Allapsidae. RNAcentral describes it as "SSU rRNA". The stretch from base 110 to 327 matches the Rfam family "Eukaryotic small subunit ribosomal RNA", at positions 738 to 955 of the family's 1831-position model. The record is from RNAcentral. Lineage: Eukaryota; Cercozoa; Glissomonadida; Viridiraptoridae.
GAUUUCUGAUGCGACCCGCCUGGCCCGCCGUGGUUACACGUGCGAGUGCCGGGUGUUGUCCGUCUGUCUUCCUGUUGCUUCGUCUGCCCUCUUCACUGAGUGGUGGCCGAGUGACUGGAUCGUUUACUUUGAACAAAUUAGAGUGUUUCAAGCAGGUGCGUGCGCCAUGAAUACAUGAGCAUGGAAUAAUCGGAUAGGACUUCGGUUCUAUUUUGUUGGUUUCGAGAGCUGAAGUAAUGAUUGAUAGGGAUAGUUGGGGGUGCUAGUAUUCAGAGGCCAGAGGUGAAAUUCUUGGAUUCUCUGAAGACUCACUUAGGCGAAAGCAUU